GGAGAGGUGGCUGAGUGGCCGAUAGCGCCGGUUUGCUAAACCGGUAUACGGGUAAAACCGUAUCACGGGUUCGAAUCCCGUCCUCUCCGCUA
This 92-nucleotide transfer RNA is filed under the name Gemmataceae bacterium. Its description in RNAcentral is "tRNA-Ser". It matches the Rfam family "tRNA". From Rfam's summary of the family: Transfer RNA (tRNA) molecules are approximately 80 nucleotides in length. Lineage: Bacteria; Pseudomonadati; Planctomycetota; Planctomycetia; Gemmatales; Gemmataceae. The record is from RNAcentral.